RNA transcript from Diachasma alloeum, 167 nucleotides. RefSeq lists it as uncharacterized. Lineage: Eukaryota; Metazoa; Arthropoda; Insecta; Hymenoptera; Braconidae. The record is from RefSeq and is a predicted model, not a curated record. The transcript is spliced from 3 exons.
GUUGAUGGAGUGGUUAUUUUGCCUCGUCCUCUUCAUGGGCUCCUGGACAGCUGCCAUCACAGGACAGCUCAAUUCCCCCUAGUGUAGUACUCUACAGGACGUUUACGUUCAAUAAUUGCGAGGAAGCUGCUAAACAGCUCAAGAGGCAAAUUGAAGAGGCCCAGGCA